This is a long non-coding RNA of Ictidomys tridecemlineatus (thirteen-lined ground squirrel), 2222 nucleotides long. RefSeq lists it as uncharacterized. The record is from RefSeq and is a predicted model, not a curated record. Lineage: Eukaryota; Metazoa; Chordata; Mammalia; Rodentia; Sciuridae.
GAGCAGGGGUAAAGAGCUGCCAGAGAGACAGAAAGAGAUGAGCAGAUCUUCUCUCCUACCAAGGCUGAGAUGACUCUCAGAGAGAGGGCCGCAGCCAAGGGGAGGAGGGAGAUGGCAGGGCAGACCUCUUUUGGGGAAGUGGGCCAGGCUCAAACAUGCCCCCACAGCCUGUCCAGGAGGCCCCAGAUGGGCCAAGGACUAUAGGGGUCCCGGCUGCCCUCCCCCAAACCUCCCCUCCCUUCUCUCCCUCUCUUUCUCGGCUGGCUAUCGACCGGGGCUGUGACAUGGUAGAUCAAUACGGCAGGGAUAUAAAGCCGGCUGGCUGCCUGCCUGCCUCUGCCUCUCUCUCUCUCUCUCUCUCUCUCUCUCUCUCUCUCUCUCUCCUUUGCUUGCCUUGCUUCCCUUCCCGGAGCCAGCCGCACCCAGGCCCCCCACCCCCAUGCACCCCUUACCCCAGCUUCUGAGGGGCCAGGGCCCCCACCACCACUCCCCUACAGCGGGAGAGCUUAGGGAGGCUGAGAGCUUGGACAGCCAGGAAAGGGGCAGGCUCCACAUCCCCUCGUGGCCCUCUCUGGAGACAGAAGUAAGAAUACUCCCCACAUGCGAGACUCAGAAACCCUGACACAGAGGAAAAGAGGUGACCAGUAAGGAAUGGAGAGGCCAAAUACAGACGAAGACUAAGAAAAUGAGAAAGAAGAGGACAGGGUGGAACCACACCUGGAAAAGGAAGGAAGACCAGGAGCAGAGACCUGCCGGGAAUUUCGAGCCAGACAGUCUGGGUGGGCAUGGGACACUCACCAUGAUUCCCAACAAACCUUGCUAAAAACUUCUAGGGUUGGACCCUAAGGCCUGCCCUCUGUUUGCCAGCUCUCACACAGACCCCUGAGGAGCACCUCCCUCUAUCUGAAGUCAGAGCCCAGUGCCUGCCCUCAGCCCCUGGGGUUCCAUGCUUGCCAGAAUGGUGAUCACUCGGCCUUCAGUUGCUGUGGGACUGUCAGGCAUUUCAGGGACCCGUUGUUUCAAACCUGCUAAGAGAUGUGAGCCAUUUUUACCUCAUCCACAUCUGUAUAUCCCAUCCCACAGCCAACAGACACUCUGUCUAUAGCUGUCUCUACCUACCCCACCCAGUGACAAAACUCAGCCACAGGGAUCAAGCAAUCUCCCCACACCCCACAUUGGGAGACAGUCCUUGGCAUCUGGACUAUAAAUCCAGUGAAGAACAUCAAUGCCAACAGCCCCUGCCCACAACCUGGUUCACACAGCUGCCACCUAUGGAGUAUCCCGUGGGUCUCACCCAAAGUCACUAACACCAAGAAAGCUGCCUGCCCUGACUAAAGCUGUGUUCUAGCACCCCCAAACCCCAUCUGUAACAGUAAAUGCCCUACUCCUAAAGCCAAAGCACCCCAGUUUCAAUACAGAAAGAAACUGGGCCUGAGGAUCUGGAUACAUCCCUGACCACCUAUCAUUUCUGGAUCUUUUCUGCACCCACCACCACCCCUACACCUUCACCUGGAGAGAACAUCUCUACCUUGUGGCUCAACACCCUCUUCAUGCAGUUCUCUUCAAGUCACCUCACCAGGAACAGUGAUGAAAGUCUUUCACUCACAGCUAAAUGCCUGCUUCCAAGGCCUUUAGGACUCUGUGGUUAGUGUGGGUUCCCUGGGGCACACCCCUGGUGAGUACAUCUGAAUCAUCUCUGCAACCCUGGGACCAGUUUCACAUAACUUUUUGUGUAAGGUUGAAGGGACAAAAGGGAGGGAGAGACAAGGUGAUAACACAGCCCUGCUCCUGCCCUGGCACUCUGAGGACAUCAGGCCCAGAUGACUGUAGCUGGCCAUGGGGACUCUGAGGCCAGGCUAGGAUCCAUCAUCCCCAAUAGUGAAUAACAGCCAGUCAGCUAGACACACCUUCCCACUUACCAGAGCUGUAACUUAUUCCUUGGCUUUUCCUAACCCUCAGGAGCUUCUCCUUAUCACUUUCUCCAAAAUUCUUCUGGAAGCCCCCUAAGCAGGCCAGUCUCUUCCCUUCUUCCCUAACCCAGCACCUGGUAGCCCCUUGGUUGAGGUAAUAGUGUUUAUGCCUGACUCUUCAUCAGCUGGGGGCCCCUCUGAGGCCUCAGAAGAUAUGCCUUUUUUCUUCUCCUUCAGACAAUAGUUCAAGGCCUAGUGCACAAGAAAUUCCAGAAAAUGUUGGCUGUAAGAAUAAAUGAAUGGAUAAGGGUU